This 113-nucleotide ribosomal RNA is filed under the name Diaphorina citri (Asian citrus psyllid). Lineage: Eukaryota; Metazoa; Arthropoda; Insecta; Hemiptera; Psyllidae. The record is from RNAcentral.
GCCAGCGGCGAUAGCACGUUAAAUACAUCAGUUUCCAAUGGGUCACUGAAGCAAAGUUGAGUGUGGUUGGUAUCCGGAAGGGUGACCAUCUGGGCUAUCCGUUGCUGCUGGAU